CCGGGUUAGUGUAUAAUUUCCUCUGAGUCUCUCUGGAGUAGAAGAGAACAUUUGUGCUCAGUUCAGCAGGUAAACAGCUAGAGACAGAGCGCUCUCCAGUCUGAACCUUCCAGAAGCAACGAUGGAACGAGACAGCCACACCACGAAAACAUCUGGCGAUGUCAUCACAUGCCGGGCAGCUGUCGCCUGGACCACUAAUGCCCCCCUGUCUGUCGAGGAGGUUACAGUUGAUCCACCAAAGGCUUGUGAGGUUCGAGUUAAGAUCAUAUCCUCUGGGAUCUGUGGCACUGAUAAUCAUAUCCUAGAAGGGAAAAUGGAAACGCCAUUUCCUGUCAUCCUGGGCCACGAGGGAGCUGGAAUUGUGGAGAGUAUUGGUCAAGGUGUGACUACCGUGAAGCCAGGAGACAAAGUCUUAAUGUUCCCUCUCCCAGAAUGUCGAGAAUGCAUCUACUGCCUUCACCCCAAGGGCAACUUCUGUAAGAAACAAAAUAUUCUCUCUCCAACCGGAUUAAUGUUGGAUGGAACCAGCCGAUUUACCUGCAGAGGGAAGAAAAUCUAUCACCUUCAGGGAACCAGCACGUUCACAGAAUAUACCGUGGUAGAUGAGAUCGCUGUGGCAAAGAUCAAUGACAGAGCUCCUAUGGACACAGUCUGUAUUAUAAGCUGUGAGGUGUCGACAGGCUUUGGAGCUGUGUUUAACACAGCUCAGGUCACCCCUGGCUCUACCUGUGUGGUUUUUGGACUUGGAGGAAUUGGUUCAGCCAUCGUCAUGGCCUGCAAAGCCUCCGGUGCAUCUAGAAUCAUCAGGGUUGACACCGACGAGCAGAAGUUUCCUCGGGCAAGAGCCUUGGGGGUCACUGACUGCCUCAACCCUAAAAAGCUCGAGAAACCUGUUCAGAAGGUGGUGAAGGAAAUGACAGGUGUCGGUGUUGACUUUGCCUUUGAGGCCAUCGGACUGAUUGAAACGAUGGUCUCGGCUUUGAAGUCAUGCAACAGGAGCUCCGGAGUGUGCGUAAUUAUGGGAGUGGCUCCCACCGGCUCCCAGCUCUCUUUUGACCCCGUGCUGCUUCUCCCUGGGAGAACUCUAAAAUCUUCUGUUUUGGGAGGGUAUAAAACCAGAGAUGACAUCCCUAAACUAGUAACUGACUACGUACAAAAAAAUUCAACAUAGAACCUCUUAUAACCCACAGGCUGCCUUUUCCAGAAAUCAAUGAAGGAUUCAAACUGUUGCGAGAGGGAAAAUGCAUCCGCUGCGUCCUCUCUAUGAGACCCUGA
Molecule: non-coding RNA, 1275 nt
Organism: Rattus norvegicus (Norway rat)
Lineage: Eukaryota; Metazoa; Chordata; Mammalia; Rodentia; Muridae
Source: RefSeq, a predicted model, not a curated record